AACGAACGCUGGCGGCGCGCCUAAUACAUGCAAGUCGAGCGAGAAGGUGUAGCAAUACACUUGUAAAGCGGCGAACGGGUGAGGAAUACAUGGGUAAUCUACCAUCGAGUGGGGAAUAACCAACCGAAAGGUUGGCUAAUACCGCGUACGCCUCCGAAUCUUCGGGUUCGGAGGGAAAGCUGCACUGUGAGUGUAGCGCUCUUUGAUGAGCUCAUGUCCUAUCAGCUUGUUGGUAGGGUAACGGCCUACCAAGGCUUUGACGGGUAGCUGGUCUGAGAGGACGAUCAGCCACACUGGCACUGCGACACGGGCCAGACUCCUACGGGAGGCAGCAGUAAGGAAUAUUGCGCAAUGGGCGAAAGCCUGACGCAGCGACGCCGCGUGGGGGAUGAAGGGCUUUUGCUCGUAAACCUCUGUAGUGAGGGAAAAAUUUCCAUUCUAUGGAAUAUGAUGGUACCUCAAAAGUAAGCCCCGGCUAACUACGUGCCAGCAGCCG
This 496-nucleotide ribosomal RNA is filed under the name uncultured bacterium. RNAcentral's name for it is "bacterial SSU rRNA". It matches the Rfam family "Bacterial small subunit ribosomal RNA", at positions 29 to 517 of the family's 1533-position model. The record is from RNAcentral.